Molecule: long non-coding RNA, 315 nt
Filed under: Capsicum annuum
Lineage: Eukaryota; Viridiplantae; Streptophyta; Magnoliopsida; Solanales; Solanaceae
Description: long non-coding RNA (CANN_LNC006273)
Source: RNAcentral
UUACCUUUUGCACUCAUUUUGUCAAAAAUAAAAACAUCAAAAAGAUUUUUCUUUGUUUCUUUAGUAAGCUUCCGUAAUUUGAAAAUUUCAAAAAAAAAAAAAGAUUUCUUUUAAUAGGAGUUUUAUAAAAGAAAAUUCAAAAAUGGUAGAAGUUUUAUACAUUUCAUAUAGCGAAAAUGUCUCAAAAAAGAUUUUUCUUUCCUAGUUGUGGGUGUCAUGUGUCAAAUUAAAAACCCCAAAAAGAUUUUAUUUACGUUCUUCACUCGUUUGUCUUUAAUCGGGUCUCAAGUCAAGGUUUUGUUUGUUCUUUAAUCC